CAGUGAUUUAACUCCUUAAUGGCAGUGAAUUAAGCAGUGAAACUUCAGGGGCAUGAUCUAUACACCAAAACCACUCCAUUAAACUAAAGUUGUUUUGGUGCCUAUUAUAUCCAUUAAGUGUACAAGGUAGGAAUAAUCUGUACAUUGUACUGGUAAAUUUGUCAGCAAAUUCACGUGGCUUGACAUUUCCACUCAACCAGUAACCAAUGGGCUAUGGAAAAGAGCUAU
Molecule: non-coding RNA, 228 nt
Organism: Pelobates cultripes (western spadefoot toad)
Lineage: Eukaryota; Metazoa; Chordata; Amphibia; Anura; Pelobatidae
Source: the annotation of a GenBank genome assembly